This is a long non-coding RNA of Diachasma alloeum, 567 nucleotides long. RefSeq lists it as uncharacterized. The record is from RefSeq and is a predicted model, not a curated record. The transcript has 3 exons. Lineage: Eukaryota; Metazoa; Arthropoda; Insecta; Hymenoptera; Braconidae.
CGUCGACCAGCGAAGAUCAAUCUAACCUCAACGGUCAGCCCCCGUCGGGGUCCGCGUGGCAACAGUGUUGGAUCGGAUGGCGGCCAACGAGUGAGAGGGUAGAGGAAAGAAACGAGAUGGUGGGAUUUUAAAAGACAGAUAGACCGAUCCCUGUGUAUGGUAUUACAAACCCCACACAUACAUACGGCUCGGUAUCAAAUAUGUACACAAAUACAAAAGCAGUGUUCUUUGUAUGGUCGAAACGUGGGACAGGAAAUGGCCACACACAGUCACGAUAGAUGCGAGCAACGCAGGAGAUAAACCCAAUCAUGGUGGGAUGCAAUAACCAGUAACACUUGGAACUGCUCUGUGUGAGAGCUGAGCCUAUCGUCGCGCCCAAAUAGGAAAGCCAGUGAUCGAAGACUUAUUUAUACUCUAUUUUCAACUGUUAACGUCACGCAUGAAAAAUCAAUAUGGGAGAUUUUUACAGGAAUUGAUUUCAGUGCUUUAUCUCUACCCAAUGCAGAAUAAUUCAUGCAAUCUGCUGUUCCAUCUGUUACAGUAUUGUCAGUUAAAAUAAAGCUACAA